This 715-nucleotide ribosomal RNA is filed under the name Bacillus safensis. RNAcentral's name for it is "bacterial SSU rRNA". It matches the Rfam family "Bacterial small subunit ribosomal RNA", at positions 59 to 759 of the family's 1533-position model. Lineage: Bacteria; Bacillati; Bacillota; Bacilli; Caryophanales; Bacillaceae. The record is from RNAcentral.
CAGUCGAGCGGACAGAGGGAGCUUGCUCCCGGAUGUUAGCGGCGGACGGGUGAGUAACACGUGGGUAACCUGCCUGUAAGACUGGGAUAACUCCGGGAAACCGGAGCUAAUACCGGAUAGUUCCUUGAACCGCAUGGUUCAAGGAUGAAAGACGGUUUCGGCUGUCACUUACAGAUGGACCCGCGGCGCAUUAGCUAGUUGGUGGGGUAAUGGCUCACCAAGGCGACGAUGCGUAGCCGACCUGAGAGGGUGAUCGGCCACACUGGGACUGAGACACGGCCCAGACUCCUACGGGAGGCAGCAGUAGGGAAUCUUCCGCAAUGGACGAAAGUCUGACGGAGCAACGCCGCGUGAGUGAUGAAGGUUUUCGGAUCGUAAAGCUCUGUUGUUAGGGAAGAACAAGUGCGAGAGUAACUGCUCGCACCUUGACGGUACCUAACCAGAAAGCCACGGCUAACUACGUGCCAGCAGCCGCGGUAAUACGUAGGUGGCAAGCGUUGUCCGGAAUUAUUGGGCGUAAAGGGCUCGCAGGCGGUUUCUUAAGUCUGAUGUGAAAGCCCCCGGCUCAACCGGGGAGGGUCAUUGGAAACUGGGAAACUUGAGUGCAGAAGAGGAGAGUGAAUUCCACGUGUAGCGGUGAAAUGCGUAGAGAUGUGGAGGAACACCAGUGGCGAAGGCGACUCUCUGGUCUGUAACUGACGCUGAGGAGCGAAAG